UGGGGAAUAUUGCGCAAUGGGCGGAAGCCUGACGCAGCGACGCCGCGUGAGGGAUGACGGCCUUCGGGUUGUAAACCUCUUUCAGCAGGGACGAAUUUAGACGGUACCUGUAGAAGAAGCACCGGCCAACUACGUGCCAGCAGCCGCGGUAAUACGUAGGGUGCGAGCGUUGUCCGGAAUUAUUGGGCGUAAAGAGCUCGUAGGCGGUCCGUCGCGUCGAAUGUGAAAACCCGGGGCUCAACUCCGGGCUUGCAUUCGAUACGGGCAGGCUAGAGUUCGGUAGGGGAGUCCGGAAUUCCUGGUGUAGCGUGAACUGCGCAGCUAUCAGGAGGAACACCGGUGGCGAAGGCGGGACUCUGGGCCGAUACCGACGCUGAGGAGCGAAAGCAGGGUGAGCGAACA
Molecule: ribosomal RNA, 402 nt
Filed under: uncultured bacterium
Lineage: Bacteria
Description: bacterial SSU rRNA
Rfam family: Bacterial small subunit ribosomal RNA
Source: RNAcentral